AAGGGCUUGUGGGGGGCCAACUAGGAGCGACACCGAGGGUUGCUGGGAAGGGCCGACCGUGCAGAUCCCGGGGUGCCUACGACGUUCCAGCCUUGCGCCUCGGUUGCUACCGAGCCGCUGCCCUAGCUGCUCAGUGACGUAGUUCCUGCCGUAGCUCUCAGAAACGGCGGCCAGAGAAAAGCUUGACGAAGAGAACUGGGAGGCUGUGGACCUCCAGGUAUUCUACCACAACAACCAGCAAAGUAACCUGCCAGCCGACACCCCAUCGCCACACCAGCCUGUGUUAGCUACUUGUAACUGUGACACAGUGGCCCAGUGAACAGCUUCCAAGGAGGAGAGGUCUAUUUUUGUUCACAUUUUCAGAGGUCUUGGUCGAUGUUUCCUUUGCCUGCCUCAUUUGAGCAGAACAUCAUAGUGGCAGGCGGGAAUGUGAAGAGUCUUAGUGAGGGUUUUACUGCAUGGUGAAGAGACACCAUGACCAAGGCAAGUCUUAUAAAGGAAAACAUAUAUUUGGGGCUGGCUUACAGGUUCAGAGGUUCAGUCCAUUAUCAUCAAGGUGGGAGCAUGGCAGGAUUCAGGCGGCAUACUGCAGGCAAAGCUGAGAGUUCUACAUCUUCAUCUGAAGACUGAAGGCUGCUAGUGGAAAACUGAUUUCCAGGCAGCUAGGAUGAGGGUCUUAAGCCCACACCUACUCCAACAAGGCCAUGUUGUAACCCCCGAAUUACUGAUACUAGAGAGACUUCAGUGUUGUACAAACAGUUUGCCUCUGCGUUCCCCGCCAGAGGCUCCCAUCCUCCCUCCCACUCCCCUAGUGUUAGAAUGGCGCGCAACACUCCUCUGAUAAGCAGCCAAACUCCAGGUGCCUGUCCUUGAGACCUUAGAGAAAUAACAAGCUCAAGGGAGACCAUGGGAAAAAAGGUAAACAGAGGUCAGGUCACAGACAGUUACGACUGGCCAUAAAAUUAGUCCUUGAAGCUGGGUGUGGUGGUGCACGCCCGGCCACACUGUUCCUAACUAUACUGUAUAUAAGCCCAAUGUUUUCUAGACUCAGGGUUGCUUGCCAACAUACAUGAAGUGAGUGCUAGGUGGGCAAACUGAGUUUGAACUUGAAAAUGAAAGACUCUUUUUCAAGAUGCAGUGGACUUUGCAAUUCUUGGGCUCGUCUGGGUUUCCCGUGAACUCAGGGCACAACAGCCACACUUCCUAAUAGUGCCACUCCCUGGGACAAGCCAUUACAAGGGGGUUCUUUGCUUCAUGUGGGACAGGAAGUGGAGACAAGAGAAGGAGAUUGGUGACCAGGUAUAACUUUCAAAGGCAAUGACUUAAUGACCUACUUUCUCCCUGUAAGCCAGUGGUUCUCAGCUUUCCUAAUACUACGAUGCUUUAACACAGUUCCUCUUGGUGUGGCAACCCCCAAUCAUACAAUUAUUUAGUUGCUACUUCAUUCUGUAACUUUUCUACUGUUAUGAAUCUUAAUGUAAGAAUUUGAUGUGUGGGAUAUCUGCUAUGCGACUCCUGUGAAAGGGUCACGCAAUCCUGAAGAGGUCUCAACCCCCAGGCUGAGAGCCACUGCUCUAAGCCCUGUCUCCUGAAGUUUCUACCAUCUCCCAAAAUAACAGCACCAGCUGGGGCAAGGUGUUCAACACCUGAACGAGUAAGGGAUAUUCCGUAUGUAAACAAGUGUUCCACCCUUGAACCUGAAGGAUCGUGGCCAUCUCAGAAUGUAAGAUGCACACAAUCCAGCCCGAGUUCUCAACGUCACCGCUGAAUCUCAGGUCUUGCUGUUAUUGAGCUCUGAUGCUAAAAAAGGUUGAAGUCUGACAUUACUGGAAAGCCCCGAGCUCAGUGCAACAUGGUGGACUCCCUUGGUCAGCAAGGCUUCUUCUUCUCAACUUGGGAGAUCCCAGACCCCACAUCCUCUUCCUGCAGAAUGUCGCAUAGUCUUGGUUAGAUCGCAAGUUCAACUUACUUCCUCCAGGUAAGAACCCAUCUGAGAUUCCUGGGAUGCUAAUGAGGCGUCUCAGCACUUUAGCCUUCAGCCAAUGAGCUUUGCCCACUCUGGACAUCCCUUCCCCCAUCCUGAUAAUUAUACAGCCUUUGAUUCAUCUCAAAUAAAGUUGAUCUGUCUCUCCGAA
Molecule: long non-coding RNA, 2135 nt
Organism: Mus musculus (house mouse)
Lineage: Eukaryota; Metazoa; Chordata; Mammalia; Rodentia; Muridae
Product: predicted gene, 53965
Exons: 2
Source: RefSeq, a predicted model, not a curated record